GUCGAACGCUGGCGGCGUGCCUAAUACAUGCAAGUAGAACGCUGAAGGAGGAGCUUGCUUCUCUGGAUGAGUUGCGAACGGGUGAGUAACGCGUAGGUAACCUGCCUGGUAGCGGGGGAUAACUAUUGGAAACGAUAGCUAAUACCGCAUAAGAGUAGAUGUUGCAUGACAUUUGCUUAAAAGGUGCAAUUGCAUCACUACCAGAUGGACCUGCGUUGUAUUAGCUAGUUGGUGGGGUAACGGCUCACCAAGGCGACGAUACAUAGCCGACCUGAGAGGGUGAUCGGCCACACUGGGACUGAGACACGGCCCAGACUCCUACGGGAGGCAGCAGUAGGGAAUCUUCGGCAAUGGACGGAAGUCUGACCGAGCAACGCCGCGUGAGUGAAGAAGGUUUUCGGAUCGUAAAGCUCUGUUGUAAGAGAAGAACGAGUGUGAGAGUGGAAAGUUCACACUGUGACGGUAUCUUACCAGAAAGGGACGGCUAACUACGUG
Molecule: ribosomal RNA, 495 nt
Filed under: uncultured bacterium
Lineage: Bacteria
Description: partial 16S ribosomal RNA
Rfam family: Bacterial small subunit ribosomal RNA
Source: RNAcentral